Molecule: non-coding RNA, 28 nt
Filed under: Mus musculus (house mouse)
Lineage: Eukaryota; Metazoa; Chordata; Mammalia; Rodentia; Muridae
Source: RNAcentral
UGAGGGGCAUGGCCUAGAGUGGGGAUGG